GAACCUCUGUGAUCAGUCGAGAACGAUCAACAUCAGGUAGGCACCCGCAUCUCUACAAUGAUGGAAAAUUGCUGGACUUAAGAUUAAUUAAGAAGAUUUAGGUCCAGAUCUCAUCCUUAAUUAGUCAUAUCAGAUAUGACUAACCUAGUGGCAUGGGUUAGCUCGAAUCAUUAGCAACCUAAGUCAAGACUUAAUCAACCAUAUUGGUCAAAUAAGUG
This 218-nucleotide long non-coding RNA is filed under the name Elaeis guineensis (African oil palm). RNAcentral describes it as "long non-coding RNA (EGUI_LNC010540)". Lineage: Eukaryota; Viridiplantae; Streptophyta; Magnoliopsida; Arecales; Arecaceae. The record is from RNAcentral.